Molecule: long non-coding RNA, 1298 nt
Filed under: Mytilus galloprovincialis (Mediterranean mussel)
Lineage: Eukaryota; Metazoa; Mollusca; Bivalvia; Mytilida; Mytilidae
Source: RNAcentral
GUUUGAAGUAUAAUAUAAUCAUAGUUUAGUUUCACUUGUCCAGAUAAAUGACCAUUAUAAAAUUUUAUUGACCAUGUACAAAGUUAGCCAGUGGGGUUUAUGAUGUGAAUAAACACUUCAUUCAGAUAACUGAAUGACCAUGUUACAUAAACACCAUGACACAUGUUACUUUUAAGUGUAUUGGGGGAGUUAAGACUUUUAAUAAGGGUAAUUCAUCGGUCACUUCAAAGUUGCAAAAGUUAAGUACCGACAUUUAUGACUUUAUUUGAAUAAUGGGAUAAUUUCUCCGGGACUAUAUAAACAAGUUUGUUCAGUUGGAAUACUAUCUGUAAAUUCCAGCUGAACAGAACUUUGUGUUUUUAUUUAAAGGUUAGUAAACUUUACACAUUUUUGGUAACGACUUAAUCAAUUUAAUUGAGAAAGAAUCUGUCGUUAAAAGUAAAUUUUUAAACUGUAAUCCGAAAAUAGAAACAAUGUACUCGUUUAACUUUAUCAAUUUAACGGAAAACUUAAAUUAUUCAAUGUCAUUUGAUUUAUUUACAACUUUAUUGUAUUUAUUAAUUAUCACUAUUUUUGAUUUGUAUUUUAAUUUGAUGUUUUGUAUUGUAUUAUCAAAAUUAAAACUGAUCUGUAAAUUCCAGCUGAACAGAACUUUGUGUUUUUAUUUAAAGGUACUAUUUCUGAAACCCUUGUGGUAUGAUCCAGUCCUAAACACGAACAGCAUAAAAAGUACUGGUUAUCCGACUUUUAUAGUUGGUUUUUAGCACUUUUUAUAAUUGGUUUUGGUGUUGUUUUUGGGGUUUGACUAACUCGACUUGGUGUAGCUAGAGGUUGGAUGAAACUUUGUAUAUUUAGAUAACCAGUACUUUUUAUGCUGUUCGUGUUUAGGACUGGAUCAUACCACAAGGGUUUCAGAAAUAGUACCUUUAAAUAAAAACACAAAGUUCUGUUCAGCUGGAAUUUACAGAUCAGUUUUAAUUUUGAUAAUACAAUACAAAACAUCAAAUUAAAAUACAAAUAAAAAAUAGUGAUAAUUAAUAAAUACAAUAAAGUUGUAAAUAAAUCAAAUGACAUUGAAUAAUUUAAGUUUUCCGUUAAAUUGAUAAAGUUAAACGAGUACAUUGUUUCUAUUUUCGGAUUACAGUUUAAAAAUUUACUUUUAACGACAGAUUCUUUCUCAAUUAAAUUGAUUAAGUCGUUACCAAAAAUGUGUAAAGUUUACUAACCUUUAAAUAAAAACACAAAGUUCUGUUCAGCUGGAAUUUACAGAUAGUAUUCCAACUGAACAAACUUGUUUA